UACAGAGGUAGCUAGCGUUGUUCGGAAUGACUGGGUGUAAAGAAUAUGUAGGCGGUUUUGUAAGUAGAAUGUGAAAUCCUUUGGCUCAACCAAAGAACUGCAUUCUAAACUGCAUUACUUGAGUGCGAGAGAGGAAAGCGGAAUUUCUGGUGUAGCGGUGAAAUGCGUAGAUAUCAGAAGGAACACCUGUGGCGAAGGCGGCUUUCUGGCUCGCAACUGACGCUGAGAUAUGAAAGCUAGGGGAG
This 245-nucleotide ribosomal RNA is filed under the name uncultured bacterium. RNAcentral describes it as "partial 16S ribosomal RNA". It matches the Rfam family "Bacterial small subunit ribosomal RNA", at positions 524 to 768 of the family's 1533-position model. The record is from RNAcentral.